Spodoptera litura is the source of this 2167-nucleotide non-coding RNA. The record is from RefSeq and is a predicted model, not a curated record. Lineage: Eukaryota; Metazoa; Arthropoda; Insecta; Lepidoptera; Noctuidae.
GUAGCAUUUUUGAUGUAACUACAACUGGUUUUAGUAGCAUUGCUGAUGUAACUACAACUGGCGUUAGUAAUUUUGCUGGUGUAACUGCAACCGGUUUUAGUAACGUUGCUGGUGUCACUGCAACUGGCGUUAGUAGUUUUGCUGGUGCAGCUGCAAGUAGUAUUAGCACUAUGACGGCUGGAGCUCCCAGAGGGUUUAGCACUGUUGGUAGUGGAAUUACUUCCAUCACUACUGGUAUAUCUAAUAUUGCCGGUACAACUGCAAGUGGCAUAGCAGGCGGUGCUAGUAGCGUUGCUGGUCUAACAGCAACUGGCAUUAAUAGCGUUGCUGGUAUAACUGCAACCGGUGUUAGUAGCGUUGCUGGUGUAACUGCAACUGGCAUUAGUAGCAUUGCUGGUUUAACUGCAACCGGCGUUAGUAACGUUGCUGGUGCUGUUGCAAGCGGCAUGAAUACUGUAGCGGGUGUAACCCCAAGAGAUUACAGUAACGUUGCGACCGGGGUUGGAUCUCUCACUACGGGUAUACCUGGUGGAAUAAGCAUCGUUGCCGAAAGUAUCUUACAUAGCCUUACCGUCGUUGCUUUGGGAAUAUAUAGUGGCAUUAGCAUCGUUGCCGGUAGCGUAUACAGUGGCAUAAGAAGUGUUGCUGGUAGUAGUUCUGGUGCGAGUGGCGAGUCUGGUGGCGGUUACUCCGGUGGGACACGAUCAAUAGCAACACAAGCAGGCAGCAAUAUGGCCGAAACGACGGGAAUCAUCAUAUUCGCACUGUGGUACAUAGCGAUCGCGUUCAACUACUUGAUGGGUUGGUUACCGAACCCAGAGCCACCUCCGGGUGAAGGUGGUGCCGCCGCCUCCUCCGGCGGCGCUCCACCUGCAGGAAAACCUGCUGCGCCUUCAGCUGCAGCACCAGCUCAAGACUUGCCACUCACGCCUUUACCAGCAACCAGAUAUAAUUAAAUAUAGGGGUUGGUUACCGAACCCAGAGCCACCACCGGGUGAAGGUGGUGCCGCCGCCUCCUCCGGCGGCGCUCCACCUGCAGGAAAACCUGCUGCGCCUUCAUCUGCAGCACCAGCUCAAGAGUCAGACUUGCCACUCACGCCUUCACGACCAACUAGAUAUUAUUAAAUAUAGGUAUGAAUAUGUCGUGGGGCCAUCCAUUAAUCACUGCUCUUACUGACUAAAACCGACCCGUUCCUACUUCUGCUUCGUUUCGAAGCCCUAGGAACCCGUUCAGUAGUCCGCAGUUGCAAAUGAACAUGUAUGUCUAUUAAAUACUGUUAAUGUACUCGUACAAAUAAGAUUUUUAUUGGUACUUUUUAUCUUGGUCCAUACUUUUCUAGAAUAAAACUAGAUUAUAUACUAUAUAAAUUUAAAAAUUUAAGAUUCUUUGUAGAUACUAAAAUGCAUUUGAUUUUAGUUGGAGUAGGGGUUAAAGGUUCUAAUGAAAUAUCUCGUGAUUAAUGGACGGUCCCAUUUCUGAAUAGAGGUAUAAUCCGAUUGUUUGACUACACAGUUGACGAAGUAGCUGCACCAUCGGCUAUAGCCCAAUGUGUUGUAAGUUCGCUUCUUCAAGGAAAAUAUAUAUCAGAAGAAAAUAUCGAGGCACGCUAUGAAGACUGUUUAUGAAACAUUUAUAGAAAUGUCAACCACAAAUAAUUAUGUGACGUACUUACCAAUUCAAUAAUGAAAUACUUGGUCAAGACUUGGAGUCAUACAAGAUGGACUGAUGGACACCAUUUCCUCAUAACAUUUGCAAUAACCUAAAAAGUGAUCGAACUAUAAUGCCGUUUCGAUCGCGUGGAUCAACAAUUCAACAUUCAGAAUAAGGGUAGGGUGUCGCAUAUCUGCGCGGGAGUCGACUCCGCCCCUCCCGCCGCCCCGCCCUACCUUCACCCCCUUUCAACUUCAUUGCGAAAUUAUUCAGAUAAAGCCGCCGAAAAAUAGUCAUCUUCACUCCUAAUUAAGAAACCAUAGACUUUCCUUCUGCCUGCUAUAAUAUUUGAAUAAUAAAAAAUCCUUAAUAAUUGUAAAACAAUAAAAUUUUCAAAAUUAUGUAAUUCAAUGUUGUUGUUUUUACAUUUCUACAUUUGAUUCGGUAUUUUAUUUUCAUACCCUGUUAAUUUCCUGUCUGUCUUUAUUCUAAAUUCAUCGAAAUUGGCUUAGCGGU